Molecule: long non-coding RNA, 1020 nt
Organism: Cyprinus carpio carpio
Lineage: Eukaryota; Metazoa; Chordata; Actinopteri; Cypriniformes; Cyprinidae
Source: Ensembl
CUGAAUUUCUCCAAAUCUGUUCAGAUGAACAAACUCAUCUACAUCUUGGAGGACCCGAGGUGUCUGCAACGUCAUCUCUUCGUCUUUACUGGGAAAUGUGCAAUCAUGUCUUUGCAUACAUCCAGUGGGGGGUGGUCCGAUGACCUCUUGGCUGGGGGACUCACAUCUGUUGAGGAUGGUCUCUUCUGAGGAUCCAAGAAUGUUUGUAUGUGUUCGUCUUCCCUGAAGAUGGUCGCCCUCUCUUGGGUGCUGUGUUGUGUAUGUUCACCAGGAUGAGAGAGGUUGCAAGUUGUGCCUGAAACUGUCUCCUGUUCAAUAUCGCUUUCUUUGUCAUCUUCAGAGCUUUACAGUCCCGCUUGUAGAGGAGCCAGGCGUUAAUCACAGCAAGAAUGAUGGUGUGCCAGAAGAUGUAAAUGUACCAGCGGUGGGAUUUCAUGGGGAACUUGUACUUGGCAGCAAAUGAGUCCAACAAAUCCACACCUCCCAUGUGUUUGUUGUAGUUUUGACCCUCUGGAAGUGUGGAGGCGAGCUUCAUCACAACAUCACCUGACAGUCCAAGUUCAGAUUUGGCUUGUCGUAUUCCAUCUACACUCCCUUGGUACACAUCAAAGUCACACAGCAUGCCAGAGAUUCCAGUUCUCACCCACAGUUUGAACCCCCAUGGGUGUGGCUUGUCACGCAUAUACUGCUUGAUGUUACUGAAUCCCCCCUUGAAAGAAAUCAUCAUUUCAUCCACAGAGUUGUGUUCUUCAGCUCCACCUGCAGGCAUCUCUCCCUGAAUGAAUUCAGCCAUGGUCUGAGUUUACAGAGUUUGUCCUUCUUUUCCAUCUCUGACACAGUUAAGUUGUUUGUAAAGUGUAAUGAAGUCAACAGAGAUUGGAAUCUGUUGCAGGACAUCACAAAAGAAACGGGUGUACCGUGUGUCAGUCUCCCAAUACAUACGGACUCCAGACAUUUGCAUUAGGCCCAUCUUCAGUUACAUGCCUAGCAUCUUCUCAAUUUCCUUAUUAUUGGUGCAGG